Non-coding RNA from Podarcis lilfordi (Lilford's wall lizard), 71 nucleotides. The record is from the annotation of a GenBank genome assembly. NCBI's taxonomy places the organism in Eukaryota, Metazoa, Chordata, Lepidosauria, Squamata, Lacertidae.
AUAUAGCUCAGUUGGUUAGAGCAUGGUGCUGGCAGUGCCAAGGUUGCAGGUUCAAUCCCCCGUUAGGACUG